UAAGGAAUAUUGGACAAUGGUCGAAAGACUGAUCCAGCCAUGCCGCGUGAAGGAUGAAGGCCCUAUGGGUUGUAAACUUCUUUUGUAUGGGAAAAAACCUCUCUACGUGUAGAGAGCUGAUUGUACCAUAAGAAUAAGGAUCGGCUAACUCCGUGCCAGCAGCCGCGGUAAUACGGAGGAUCCAAGCGUUAUCCGGAUUCAUUGGGUUUAAAGGGUGCGUAGGCGGAAUGAUAAGUCAGUGGUGAAAGCCCUCAGCUUAACUGAGGAACUGCCAUUGAUACUGUCAAUCUUGAGUACAUUUGAUGUGGGCGGAAUGUGUCAUGUAGCGGUGAAAUGCUUAGAUAUGACACAGAACACCGAUUGCGAAGGCAGCUCACUAGGAUACAACUGACGCUGAGGCACGAAAGCGUGGGGAUCAAACAGG
Molecule: ribosomal RNA, 424 nt
Filed under: uncultured bacterium
Lineage: Bacteria
Description: bacterial SSU rRNA
Rfam family: Bacterial small subunit ribosomal RNA
Source: RNAcentral